RNAcentral lists this ribosomal RNA (415 nucleotides) under uncultured crenarchaeote. Its description in RNAcentral is "partial 16S ribosomal RNA". It matches the Rfam family "Archaeal small subunit ribosomal RNA", at positions 330 to 747 of the family's 1478-position model. Lineage: Archaea; Thermoproteati; Thermoproteota. The record is from RNAcentral.
GUGCACCAGUCGCGAAAACUCCGCAAUACACGAAAGCGUGACGGGGCUAUCCCGAGUGCCGUCCGCUGAGGAUGGCUUUUCCCCAGUGUAGACAGCUGGGGGAAUAAGGAGAGGGCAAGUCUGGUGUCAGCCGCCGCGGUAAUACCAGCUCUUCGAGUGGUAGGGAUGUUUAUUGGGCCUGAAGCAUCCGUAGCCGGCUGGGCAAGUGCUCUGUUAAAUCCAGCGAUUCAAUCGUUGGAUUGCGGGGAAUACUGUGCGGCUUGGGGGUGAGAGAGGCCGUCGGUAUUCUUGGGGUAGGGGUAAAAUCUUAUAAUCCCGAGAGGACCACCAGUGGCGAAGGCUGUGGGCUAGAACGCGCCCGACGGUGAGGGAUGAAAGCUGGGGGAGCGAACCGGAUUAGAUACCCGCGUAGUCC